AACGAACGCUGGCGGCAGGCCUAACACAUGCAAGUCGAGCGGCAGCACGGGUACUUGUACCUGGUGGCGAGCGGCGGACGGGUGAGUAAUGCCUAGGAAUCUGCCUGGUAGUGGGGGAUAACGCUCGGAAACGGACGCUAAUACCGCAUACGUCCUACGGGAGAAAGCAGGGGACCUUCGGGCCUUGCGCUAUCAGAUGAGCCUAGGUCGGAUUAGCUAGUUGGUGAGGUAAUGGCUCACCAAGGCGACGAUCCGUAACUGGUCUGAGAGGAUGAUCAGUCACACUGGAACUGAGACACGGUCCAGACUCCUACGGGAGGCAGCAGUGGGGAAUAUUGGACAAUGGGCGAAAGCCUGAUCCAGCCAUGCCGCGUGUGUGAAGAAGGUCUUCGGAUUGUAAAGCACUUUAAGUUGGGAGGAAGGGCAGUUACCUAAUACGUAUCUGUUUUGACGUUACCGACAGAAUAAGCACCGGCUAACUCUGUGCCAGCAGCCGCGGUAAUC
RNAcentral lists this ribosomal RNA (504 nucleotides) under uncultured bacterium. RNAcentral's name for it is "bacterial SSU rRNA". It matches the Rfam family "Bacterial small subunit ribosomal RNA", at positions 29 to 525 of the family's 1533-position model. The record is from RNAcentral.